UAGGGAAUAUUAGAAAUGGACGAAAGUCUGAUCUAGCAACACCGCGUGUGCGAAGAAGGCCUUCGGGUCGUAAAGCACUUUUUGGAAGGAAUAGGAAGGAAUGUACUUCCAGAAUAAGUCUCGGCUAACUACGUGCCAGCAGCCGCGGUAACACGUAGGAGGCGAACGUUAUCCGGAUUUACUGGGCGUAAAGCGCGUGUAGGUGGUUCUGUAAGUAGGGCGUGAAAGCUCCUGGCUCAACUGGGAGAGGCCGUUCUAAACUACAGAACUAGAGGAUAGUAGAGGGAGGUGGAAUUCCGGGUGUAGCGGUGGAAUGCGCAGAUAUCCGGAGGAACACCAGUGGCGAAAGCGGCCUCCUGGACCAUGCCUGACACUCAGACGCGAAAGCUAGGGUAGCAAACG
Molecule: ribosomal RNA, 402 nt
Filed under: uncultured prokaryote
Description: bacterial SSU rRNA
Rfam family: Bacterial small subunit ribosomal RNA
Source: RNAcentral